GUGGACGUGGCCAAGUGGACCAAGGCAGUGGAUUGUGAAUCCAUAACGGGUGGGUUCAAUCCUCGCCAUUUGCC
This is a non-coding RNA of Picea glauca (white spruce), 74 nucleotides long. NCBI's taxonomy places the organism in Eukaryota, Viridiplantae, Streptophyta, Pinopsida, Pinales, Pinaceae. The record is from Rfam.